CCUACGGGAGGCAGCAGUGGGGAAUAUUGCGCAAUGGGCGAAAGCCUGACGCAGCGACGCCGCGUGAGGGAUGAAGGUCUUCGGAUCGUAAACCUCUGUCAGCAGGGAAGAACGGUCACUGUGCUAAUCAGCAGUGAAUUGACGGUACCUGCAAAGGAAGCACCGGCUAACUCCGUGCCAGCAGCCGCGGUAAUACGGAGGGUGCGAGCGUUAAUCGGAAUUACUGGGCGUAAAGCGCGCGUAGGCGGUAUGUCAAGUCAAGGGUGAAAUCCCCGCGCUCAACGUGGGAACUGCCUUUGAAACUGGCAAACUGGAGUGUGGGAGAGGAUGGUGGAAUUCCAGGUGUAGGAGUGAAAUGCGUAGAUAUCUGGAGGAACAUCAGUGGCGAAGGCGACUAUCUGGCACAUAACUGACGCUGAGGAGCGAAAGCGUGGGUAGCAAACAGGAUUAGAUACCCCUGUAGUC
RNAcentral lists this ribosomal RNA (465 nucleotides) under uncultured bacterium. RNAcentral describes it as "partial 16S ribosomal RNA". It matches the Rfam family "Bacterial small subunit ribosomal RNA", at positions 338 to 795 of the family's 1533-position model. The record is from RNAcentral.